AGGUGCGUGCAUGGUUGUCGUCAGCUCGUGUCGUGAGAUGUUGGGUUAAGUCCCGCAACGAGCGCAACCCCUAUUUCUAGUAGCCAGCAGGUAAGGCUGGGCACUCUGGAGAGACUGCCCGGGACAACCGGGAGGAAGGCGGGGAUGACGUCAAAUCAUCAUGCCCCUUAUGACCAGGGCGACACACGUGCUACAAUGGCGUAAACAAAGGGAAGCAGGACGGCGACGUUGAGCAAAUCCCAAAAAUAACGUCCCAGUUCGGAUUGUAGUCUGCAACCCGACUACAUGAAGCUGGAAUCGCUAGUAAUCGCGAAUCAGAAUGUCGCGGUGAAUACGUUCCCGGGUCUUGUACACACCGAA
This 360-nucleotide ribosomal RNA is filed under the name uncultured Ruminococcus sp. Its description in RNAcentral is "bacterial SSU rRNA". It matches the Rfam family "Bacterial small subunit ribosomal RNA", at positions 1036 to 1394 of the family's 1533-position model. Lineage: Bacteria; Bacillati; Bacillota; Clostridia; Eubacteriales; Oscillospiraceae. The record is from RNAcentral.